This is a long non-coding RNA of Lolium perenne, 2893 nucleotides long. RefSeq lists it as uncharacterized. Lineage: Eukaryota; Viridiplantae; Streptophyta; Magnoliopsida; Poales; Poaceae. The record is from RefSeq and is a predicted model, not a curated record.
GCCCACAUGUCAAUGCCUGCUGGAGGCUAAAGGGAGGAGCCCCGAACCCUACCCUUCUCCCAUCCCAUUCUCCCUGGCGGCGGGAACCUCCUCUCCCGUCAGGCAGAUCGUUCCCCUCUUCUCUUUCUCGUCGAUGAGCGCCUUUGUGUAUCCUCCACCGUCAAUCGUUGUUACAACACGGAGAGGAGGUGGCUGAGGAAUGGGGGCAGAUGCCAUCUACUCUGCUUCCUGAUUCGCCACCGCUCUGAUGCCGCCGCCGACAGGUACCACCACCCGCCCCAGUGCUCCAGGAACCUCUCUCCUCUCCUCUUUUUUCUAUGCUCCUGAUCUCUCUGUUGUUAUACCCCGGUAAUCUCCUCAAUGACCCGUGCGUCGGCCGCUGUUGAGAAAAGCAGGUCUACACAAGCAACCUAGGAAGGCCACCGACAGACGCCGCUCCUCGUCGAUUCGUCCGUUGCUUUGGUGAAACCAAUACUAAUUCCAGUUCAUUUAACCCGGCCCCUUUUAAGUUCAUAUUGGCAAGUUGAUGGUUACUUAUCAUCUUUUGAAUGCUUUUUGGUAUCGUUGGGUGAAAGCGGUAAAGCUAAUGUUGAUCCAGAAAGUUUUUCUCAUAUUGACGACGUGGAGGUAUCUUUAUUCGUACAUCUAUCGAACACACUUUUCGGACUAAUUGUUGUUGUAUUUGAGCCUGGAAGUGUCCAGAUAUGUUAUUUGGGAUCUCUGACGCUCCAUUAUUUUUAGGUUGAUGGAUAUCAUAACAAUGAGGAAGCGACAUAGUACCAAAGUAUUAUUGGGAAGAAUCUCUAGCAACAUGAGUUAGUUCUUAGUCUGACUAGAGGGUCUACUGUCUGUUUCUUUCUAACUUUCUUUUACAAGAACAAGCUACAAAGAAAGCUUUAGCAGCUUUGCAGUUAGAGCCUGGAGACGUACAAUAUGAGACGGGGACUUAAUGAGGACACAAAGAACUCCACACCUGCUGAAACACCAUAAGAAGAAACAUAUGGGACUUGGGUAAACAUCAAUGUCGAAGCAGUUGAUGGGUUGUACAAUGUAUGUUUUAUUCGUUCACGUUCGCUGAAUUUAUAAAUUCUUUGCCUAUACUAAAGAUGAGGAUGUCUACAAUAUGACUAUGACAAUGUUGGUUUCUAAUAGCAAAAAAGUCUGAAAAAAGCAGCUCAACAAAAUUCAUUCUGAGUGUUGUCCCGCUCCUCUCUAUCCUCCAGCUAUAAACAUGAGUCGUUCAGAUCUGCGAAAGAAGAGAAGGGGACGAAUCUAGGGGAAAAGUUUGGUGAAAAAGAAGAAUGAGGAUUUUGAGGCUGCUCCGCCGUUCCAUUUGGUUUAGCUUCCCAAAAUCAAAGGGACAUGUUCGAAUUUCACGAUCUAAUAAUUGCAUAAUUUAGUGCUAUUUUUUGGCUUUACUUGAGUGUUUUUGGCUGGAUAGUCCUUUUUGAUAGAUAAACAUACCAAUCCUAAUUCUGGACUGAAGGUUCAGGAUGUUUGUCCGCUUCCUAUUCAUAUGGGUAGAUUUUCUAUGUAGUUCCACCUUAAUAAUAGUUUGCAUGUUCCAAUAUAUAUUCCUGUUAGGUUCUUAGUUUUUAUGUUUAUACUAUGAUGCUUUAUUUAAUUACACCACAAUCAUGUACGGGGCUAAAUAGUAUUUUGUUCCCCCUGCCCCCUCAAAUCAGGUUUGCAUAAAAAAUCGUUUUGUGUUCUUGAUCAAAUUAUUGCUACAUAUUACGAUAGCUAUGUGGUUUAAAAUAAAGAUAAAAAAAUUACAUGCCCUUCCUUUAUUUACGGCUACGUUUCUAAAGCUUGACUAUAUAUGUUAGUCAAUACCUUAAACGACAUUGAAAUUUGUGUUAUACUGUUAUGCUAUGUUGUUAGCACUAAAAACAUCAGUGAGGUUUUCGAAAAAUUAUUUAGAAAUUUUACUGAUCAUAUGUUUACAAGCAUAUCCUAUAUAAUGGUUCUUCUCUAAUUUAAGUUUAAGCACUUCUAAUUCACUGCUUGGUGAACUGAAUUGAUCAAAGGAUGCAGAGUUAUCUUUUUUUCUUUAGGAACCCGCUAGCUAGAUUGGUUACUAUGCCUCUGGGAAGGUGAAAUAGUAAGGUUUUGAAUGAUUAUGACCCCACCUCUUAUCAUCCUAUUUCUUCUAGAUUAAUUAUUGUUUUUGAAUUUAUCUACAUGUGAGCAUAACAACUAUGCAGUGUGCAUAGGGCUGUAUCAUCUUUUGUUACAUUGGAUAAAUCGUCUUGAAACAAAAUACAUUCAAUGAGUCUCUGUAUAUGUAGUAUUGUACUGUAGUGAGCUCAUCCAAUCUGCGAUCAGUGUCUUGAUCCAAGCUUCUCUAGCAUGAAUACUGCUCUAGGUCUUGUACAUAUACCAUAAUUUGCAAGCAGACAGUCAGACUGAAUAUAGCCCCAUUCAUCAUACAAUGUUGAUACUCAAUACACAAUAAGCUUGCAAAUAAUAAAUUGGGUAAGAAUGCUAUUCUUUUCGUUUUUCUUUAAAUUUGUUCUACUCAUUUCCUGUUGUAGGUUCAUGAAUCAUGAGUAUCAUAGGCAGGGCUGACUACAUCAUCUUUUGCCUUGUAUCAGGUCGUUUGGUCAUCUUUGUUCUUCACACAGAUAUGCACAGGCAGAGCACAACAGCAUUCCAAACCGAAGCUGCUCAGGCAUGUUUUGGUGUCCAUCAGAUUCCUUCUUUUUCAUGUUUACUGUUGGCAUUAGCAUUUGUUUCAAGUGAUGUUUAUUCUCGUAUUUGUAAAGCGUUGAUGAUUCAUUCAGUUCAGUAGCACCCAGCCUGAUGUAAUGUUUCUGAUUCUUGUGAACUGUUGUGCACCUACCUACCUGAUGAAUUACUAAGAGGCGUUGGUGCCAAAACAGUUGGAAAA